Molecule: ribosomal RNA, 433 nt
Filed under: uncultured bacterium
Lineage: Bacteria
Description: bacterial SSU rRNA
Rfam family: Bacterial small subunit ribosomal RNA
Source: RNAcentral
AGCGAACGCUGGCGGCAGGCUAAACAUGCAAGUCGAACGGAUCCUUCGGGAUUAGUGGCGGACGGGUGAGUAACACGUGGGAACGUGCCUUUUGGUUCGGAACAACUCAGGGAAACUUGAGCUAAUACCGAAUGUGCCCUUCGGGGGAAAGAUUUAUCGCCAUUAGAGCGGCCCGCGUCUGAUUAGCUUGUUGGUGAGGUAAAAGGGCUCACCAAGGCGACGAUCAGUAGCUGGUCUGAGAGGAUGAUCAGCCACACUGGGACUGAGACACGGCCCAGACUCCUACGGGAGGCAGCAGUUAGGAAUCUUGCGCAAUGGGGGAAACCCUGACGCAGCCAUGCCGCGUGAAUGAUUAAGGUCUUAGGAUUGUAAAAUUCUUUCAGCGGGGACGAUAAUGACGGUACCCGCAGAAGAAGCCCCGGCUAACUUCGUG